CCUACGGGUGGCAGCAGUGGGGAAUAUUGCUCAAUGGGCGAAAGCCUGACGCAGCGACGCCGCGUGAGGGAUGACGGUCUUCGGAUCGUAAACCUCUGUCAGCAGGGAAGAACGGUCACUGUGCUAAUCAGCAGUGAAUUGACGGUACCUGCAAAGGAAGCACCGGCUAACUCCGUGCCAGCAGCCGCGGUAAUGAGGAGGGUGCGAGCGUUAAUCGGAAUGACUGGGCGUAAAGCGCUCGUAGGCGGUAUGUCAAGUCAAGGGUGAAAUCCCCGCGCUCAACGUGGGAACUGCCUUUGAAACUGGCAAACUUGAGUGUGUGAGAGGUUAGCGGAAUGCCAGGUGUAGGAGUGAAAUCCGUAGAUAUCUGGCGGAACAUCAGUGGCGAAGGCGACUAUCUGGCACAUAACUGACGCUGAGGAGCGAAAGCGUGGGUAGCAAACAGGAUUAGAUACCCCAGUAGUC
This 465-nucleotide ribosomal RNA is filed under the name uncultured bacterium. Its description in RNAcentral is "partial 16S ribosomal RNA". It matches the Rfam family "Bacterial small subunit ribosomal RNA", at positions 338 to 795 of the family's 1533-position model. The record is from RNAcentral.